RNAcentral lists this ribosomal RNA (245 nucleotides) under uncultured bacterium. RNAcentral's name for it is "partial 16S ribosomal RNA". It matches the Rfam family "Bacterial small subunit ribosomal RNA", at positions 524 to 768 of the family's 1533-position model. The record is from RNAcentral.
GACAGAGGGUGCAAACGUUGUUCGGAAUUACUGGGCGUAAAGCGCGUGUAGGCGGCUCCGCAAGUCGGGUGUGAAAUCCCAUGGCUCAACCAUGGAAGUGCACUCGAAACUGCGAGGCUAGAGUCCUGGAGAGGAAGGUGGAAUGCUUGGUGUAGAGGUGAAAUUCGUAGAUAUCAAGCGGAACACCGGUGGCGAAGGCGGCCUUCUGGACAGUGACUGACGCUGAGACGCGAAAGCGUGGGGAG